This 187-nucleotide ribosomal RNA is filed under the name uncultured bacterium. RNAcentral describes it as "partial 16S ribosomal RNA". It matches the Rfam family "Bacterial small subunit ribosomal RNA", at positions 1314 to 1500 of the family's 1533-position model. The record is from RNAcentral.
GCCUGUAUGAAGUUGGAAUCGCUAGUAAUCGCGGAUCAGCAUGCCGCGGUGAAUACGUUCCCGGGCCUUGUACACACCGCCCGUCACACCAUGAGAGUCGGGAACACCCGAAGUCCGUAGUCCAACCGCAAGGGGGACGCGGCCGAAGGUGGGUUCGAUAAUUGGGGUGAAGUCGUAACAAGGUACC